Octodon degus (degu) is the source of this 2444-nucleotide RNA transcript. It is a transcript of the gene named transmembrane 6 superfamily member 1, with no coding region annotated. Lineage: Eukaryota; Metazoa; Chordata; Mammalia; Rodentia; Octodontidae. The record is from RefSeq and is a predicted model, not a curated record. The transcript is spliced from 11 exons.
CGGGAUGCGGCGAAGGGCGCGCGGCGCGCGGCGGCGGAGAUGAGCGCCUCGGCGGCCACCGGGGUGUUCGUGCUGUCGCUCUCGGCCAUCCCGGUCACCUACAUCUUCGACCGCCUGGCGGCUCAGCACGAUUCCUGGACAAUCGUAGGAGUUGCUGCCCUCAUUCUGCUCCUGGUAGCCCUGUUGGCUCGAGUUCUUGUCAAAAGGAAGCCACCUCGGGACCCGCUAUUCUAUGUGUAUGCCGUCUUCGGAUUUACCAGUGUGGUGAACCUCAUCAUAGGGCUGGAACAAGAUGGCAUCAUUGAUGGCUUCAUGACCCACUACCUGAGAGAGGGUGAACCCUAUCUGAACACUGCUUACGGGCACAUGAUCUGCUACUGGGAUGGCUCUGCUCAUUAUCUGAUGUACCUAGUGAUGGUGGCAGCUAUAGCAUGGGAGGAAAGCUACAGAAGCAUUGGCCUGUACUGGGUUGGAUCCAUUAUCAUGAGCAUUGUUGUUUUUGUGCCUGGAAACAUUGUAGGGAAAUAUGGAACACGAAUAUGCCCUGCUUUUUUCUUAAGCAUACCGUAUACUUGUCUCCCUGUCUGGGCAGGUUUCAGAAUCUAUAAUCAGCCAACAGAAAAUUAUAAUUACCCUGCCAAGGUUGUCCAAGAAGCGCAAGCAAAAGACCUGCUGAGAAGACCAUGUGACCUAAUGCUAGUCACAUGUCUCCUACUGGCCACUGGAUUUUGCCUGUUUAGAGGCUUGAUUGCUUUGGACUGCCCAGCUGAGCUCUGCCGAUUGUAUACACAAUUUCAAGAGCCCUACCUAAAGGAUCCUGCUGCUUAUCCUAAAAUUCAGAUGCUGGCAUAUAUGUUCUAUUCUGUUCCUUACUUUGUGAUUGCGCUUUAUGGCCUAGUGGUUCCCGGAUGCUCCUGGAUGCCUGACAUAACACUGAUACAUGCUGGAGGUCUAGCUCAGGUACCAUGAACUUCUUCAAAAAAAGUCGCAGAUUGGCUUUGGACAGGCUGGUUGUACAGAGGUGACUUGAAUAUACUUAAGAAAACACAAACUUUUGCUCUGCACUGUACAUGUGAGCUGUAAUACUGUACUGUGUGGGUAAAUUUUGUUUAUGGACAGAAAACUUGGGAAACAGCUUGUUUUAAGAAAUACAUAAAAAAAUAAAAAAAUAAAGAAAUACAUCAAAAUUGUCUGUGAAUAAACCUGACCAUGUAUCUCAAGAUUUUGUUUGUACAUAUUACAUAAUUGUGAGUGUGAAAAAUUGUAACUUAGUACCUAUAACAGCAGAAAACAAAAACUACUCAGAAGUGAAUGUGUGCUAUACAUAUAAAAAAUUAAAAACAGCAAUCACAGGUUGGAGAAAUAACUUUUGCAUAUAAGAUUGUAUAUGCCACAUAAUCGACCUCAAUUUAAAAGGCAGAUCAACAGAAUAUUUUUAACUGUUUGAAAAAUGUCUUCCCAAGGGAAGUUUAUUAUUUACUGUUUUUAAAAAAUGCUUUUACAAGUUUUUUGUGUCAACCUAAAUAGCUCAAGCAAGAUCAAUUAACUUUAUCAUUACCCACAACAGACUUGUUUUGCUGGUGGCUAGAAAUGUUUCUAUUGUAUUUCUGCAUAUAUUUUUAAUAAAAUUAUUUUUGGUCUUUUAUGAAAAGAUAUUAUACCACAUUUGAAAUAGUUUAUAUAUAUUUUCAUAGGUCUUGGCUUUUUAGUUAAAAUCUGUUAUACUUUCUAAAUCAAAACCUAGUCUCAUAUUUUAGUGUGAUCAACAAAGAGGCCUUUUGUUGAAUUAAAUAUUUCAUAACUUUAAAAUAAAAUAUGCACAAUUUAAAAAUACAUUUUAAGGAAAAAGUACUCCAUUGGCAUCUUUACUACUUUAUGAACUUUUCAUUUGAAACUGUAUGAGUAUAUAUCAGUAUUUGCUAAAUGACAGAAACAGACCAAAAGCACAGCUCCUUUUUACUGCCCUGCAUGUGUGUGGAUCAGAGUUUGUGUAGCCUCAGCUGCCAUCACCACCAUCAGCAUCAGCGUCGCAGAUUUUCUCUUCAUGAUCAUUAGUUCUUCACCAAAAUAAGGAAACCAAAAGGAAAUUCGGUACAAAUCAACACAUAAACUAUAUGUGAAUUUAGGGUUCACUAAGUAAGUAUUUUCCUAGAUGUGCAGGCAAAUUGUGUUGUCAUUUGCUCCCAAAUAACAUAGAACCCCCAGUAUUAAGAGGGGUGGGAGGAGAUAAAAAUGAAAGCCCUUACCUGCACUUGACUCUGUUGUCAACUUGCUGUUAAUAAAUAGUUUUUGCUUUAAUAUACGAGUUACAUUAAUACCUCACAAUUACAUAUAUAAAGCCAAGUUACACUAACUUUGUUUACAACCUCAGAGCUUACUCCCAGUACACAUUCCAAUAAAUUUAUUCUGUAAAAACAAUACAUUUUUUUGUUUUUGACUUUUUU